Long non-coding RNA from Piliocolobus tephrosceles (Ugandan red Colobus), 3717 nucleotides. RefSeq lists it as uncharacterized. Lineage: Eukaryota; Metazoa; Chordata; Mammalia; Primates; Cercopithecidae. The transcript is spliced from 3 exons. The record is from RefSeq and is a predicted model, not a curated record.
CCUGGUUCAAGCUUUUCUCCUGCCUCAGCCUCCCGAGUAGCUGGGAUUACAGAGACCUCUCCUGAUGGAGCAAUAUCCUGGUCACUGGGAAGCAUUCCCUGUGAUUUUGGUUGAAAAACUGUCCUUGGAAAAAGAUCUGAAAAUAUGACAAAGGGAUUGCUAUGUCCUGUCCAUUCUGUGGAGUCUUGAGCCAUGUUCUACCUGGCCCAUUCUGCAAUUGUCAGCCUCUCUAGGGAUGCCAUACUUGAAUCUCCUUGAGUGUCCUAAUGAUUUUUCUAUUAUAGUUGCCAUCUAUCUCUUUUGGCAGGUCUGUGGGCUGGCCAUGUGUUCUUUUUGCUCUGACUCUCUAGCACACUCUGACUGCUAGCUCAUUGGUUGGAUUGCUAUUUUUUCUUUGCUGACUUUUUGGUUGAUGAACUUCAAGCACUGGGUGUCCUACAAGUGGUAAGAGGUGAAGUGACCUUCUGCCAGGAGAUGGUGGCAGGGAGUCCAUUGAGGCAUCCCUCUAUUCCCUGAUCUCUUCACACCUGCUCAGCCUUAGGGAGGCAAAGAUUCAGCCAACCCAUUGCUCAGUCAACCCAUCCAUAGAUCUCCGUAGGCAAAACUAUUUCACAGGUCUGUUGCUUUGUGAUCCUCACUCUCAGGUUUCAAGACUCUUCUUUAGGUGUUCAGUGAGUCACCAGGGCGUGGGGGCAGUAAGGAAUACUGCCAAUUUUCUUCCACAGGGAGCUCCUCAGAGCCCACAACUUCAUUUCAUUUCAGCUCUUAAGAAACCCAACCGGUUUUUUGUUUGUUUUUUGUUUUUUUGUAAUUGGUCAAAGGUAGAUAAUUCAGAGCUAGUGCUAGAAACUUGCACUAGAGGCUAGAGGUUUCUAGAGACUUGUUCAGGUCAUUAUCUUUUCAGAAUUUCCUUCUGUACUCAGGUUUUGAUUUUAAAAGCCAAGAUUUUAGAUAAUUUUAUUCUUUAGUUUACCUACUGACAAUACUCAAACAAUAGGUGCCCUCUUGUCCCAAGUUGGUGGAGGGCUACCAGAGAAACAGAAAGGAAAAAAAAGAAGCAUAUUAAUGAACACUUUAUAAUUAAUGAACACUUACUGCCCUGGCAUUAAUGAAUAAAUAGGCUGGGGAUAUUGAGGGAUACAUUAAAGCAAAGAAAAAUAGAACAUAUAGCUGUAAAGUCAAAUGGCGAUCAAGAAAAGUGGGAAGAUUGUUUUCAUCAUAGCAUUUGGGGAACUCCAUUAAUCAGUAGUGACAUCUGCAGAAACUCUGAUGGUUAUCUGAUACCUAAAAUCCUAAACUCUGUUUCAGCUCAGCCACAAGUGAACUGGGUGAUUUGGGAGUAGAUAUUUGAAGUUUUUUGGUUUAAUAUUCCAUCUCCAAAAUAAGAUAUUUAAUCAUAUUAGCCUUUGAAAUUCUAGCUAAGUCCAAAUUCAAUGACACUUCUUGAUAGAUCACAUAUUCAGGCACACACAUGGGGAGAUGCAUGCACACAUUUUUCUUUCCUCUGCAACUCAGCUUCCCUGUUGGGGGUGGAUUGGUUUCUGGACUGGAAGUGAUAAAAAGGAAGUACCCUUCUGGCUCAAUAUAGUCCAGCUAUAUAUAACUGUACAACAAUACAUCUAGUAGCACUCCCAAGUGUGAAACAAGCUGCCUCUGGAUACACACCUGGCCUGUAAAAAAGAGUUCAUCAUAUGUUUAUCUGGUGGCAGCAUUUUUCACACUUGGGAAUGCUGCCGGCUGCUUUUACUGAGUGACAUAAACACUGCCAGCUUUGAGUGGGACUCAGAGCAAAGAAGUGCUCUGUAAUAGGUCCAGGGUAAGGUGCAAGCAGCCUUGAUGUGUGGGCCAUAUUGCCCGACAGAUCCGGUGCUAUUAGAAGAACUUGUGGUAGGAAAAGAUGCUGUGUAAAAUUGCUGGCUAGAUCUUGUAGGAUAACUGCAAUAGACUCCCAGAGUUCAGGAGCAAGGCCAUGCUAUCUUCAGUAGACAGUUAUAUAGCUUUUAGAAGUACAGUUCCUGUUGUGUUGCUGGACCCUAGUUGAAACAGUACUCCUGACAAUGGGACACCAAGUGACUCUAUGACCAGAGCUUCCCAUUAUAAGCUGCUUUCUGUUAGACCCUCUAUAUGAUGAACUGUCAGCAUUUUAUCCUCAGAAGGAAGUGGUAUGUCUGGAGUCAGUCAUAAGCAGGGCCAGAGUUCAUAAGAUGUUUGAAUGAGUGGCCCAGCCGUCCAUGAUAUCCAUUGCUGUUCCACUGAUGCUUCUCCUUCAAUUAACUAUUGCAGCUGCUGUACCAGUUAAAGCAGUCUAUGACCACUUACACAGAAGGGAACAGGUGAAGCUUGGUUCAUAGAUGGACUUACUCAUUAUGUGGUGCAAGCUAGAAAUAUAUUACCAUUGCAUUACAAACAUAUCUGGGAGUGGCCCUGAAAUACAGUGAGGGCAUGGAAAAUUCUCCCAAUGAACAAAGCUGUAGGCUUGAGUAAAAUAUAUAUGUGAACUCAUUAACAGAGGUGAAUAGUUUGGAUGUCUGGUCAGGGGCAUAGAAAAUGAAAUAUUGGGCUGGAAGCAUGUGGCUAGACCUAAGAAACCUUAGAGAGUUUGAGUGUAAAUUGUGAAGAUCUUUGUAUCAAAUGGUUGUAAUAAUCCAUCAUGGAAUAAGCACUAAACAAUCAAGCAGAUGAACCAGCCAUCUUUUUCAUCCACCAACCAUGUGCUGGCACAAUGAACAGCAUGAACAAUGAACAGCAUGACCAUGGCAGCAGGGAUGAAAGCUAUGCAUGGGCUCAACAGUGUGGCCUCCCUCUUACCAAGACUGAUCUAGCUCCUACUAUUGCUGAAGAUUCAAUCUGCUGGCAACCGAGACCAAAGGUGAUUCCCUACUAUGGCACCAUCUUUCAAGGGGAGAUACCAGUCACCGGUGUCAACUUAAUAUAUUAGACCCCUUGUAUCCUGGAAGGAGAAUGAAUCAUCUUGACAGAAAUAGACACAUAUUAUGGUUUUUCGUUCCAGUCUGCAGGACUUCAACCAGAGUCACUCUCUGAGAGUGGGCAGAGUGUUUAUUCCAUGGCUCAGAAUAUAGCAUGAUAUUCAAGGAUGCACUUUACAGAAGGAAGUGUGACCUUGGGAAUAUAAACAUGGAGUCUACUAGCCCCAUCACAUACUACUCCAUAGAGAAGCUGAUGGCCAGAUAGAGUGAUAGAAUUGUCUUUUAAAAAGUUUUAUCAAGAAAUAAUUCAUGUAUCAUUAAAUUCACUCAUUUUAAAUGUACAAUUCAAUGAAUUUUAGCAUAUUUAUAGGUUAUAUAACUAUGACCACAAUCCAAUUUGGAAUAUUUCUAUCACUCCAACAAGAGACCUCUUGCUCACUUAUAGUCACCACCCAUUCCAUCCCUGGAAAUGCUUUCUGGAGGAAUUGUUGAUACAUCAGUUUAGUGAUGAUACCUUGCCCUUGCAAAGAUAAGAUGCCAUUCUCUUAGAUGCAGAAUAUACUCUAAAUCAAUGACCAUGUGUUCUCAGUGGGUAUAAUACAUAGAUCUUGGAAUCAAUGGGUGGAAGUAAGAGUGGAUUGUAUGACCAGCAUCUCAGUAAUCUACCUGGGAAAUUUGUGCUUUCUCUCACUAUAACACUAGAUUGUGUGUUUCUAUAAAUUUUGGUUCCAAGAAGUGGAAUGCUUUCACCAGGAAAUACAUAAAGAUUCUCAGUAAACUUUGAGCUAUG